This 497-nucleotide ribosomal RNA is filed under the name uncultured bacterium. RNAcentral's name for it is "partial 16S ribosomal RNA". It matches the Rfam family "Bacterial small subunit ribosomal RNA", at positions 28 to 507 of the family's 1533-position model. The record is from RNAcentral.
GAUGAACGCUGGCGGCGUGCCUAAUACAUGCAAGUCGAGCGAACAGACCAGGAGCUUGCUCCUCUGACGUUAGCGGCGGACGGGUGAGUAACACGUGGAUAACCUACCUAUAAGACUGGGAUAACUUUGGGAAACCGGAGCUAAAACCGGAUAAUAUACUGAACCGCAUGGUUCAAUAGUGAAAGACGGUUUUGCUGUCACUUAUACAUGAAUCCGCGCAGCAUUAGCUAGUUGGUAAGGUAACGGCUUACCAAGGCAACGAAGCGUAGCCGACCCGGGAGCGCGCUCGCCCACGCUGGAACUAAGACACCGUCCACAGUCGUACAGGAGGCACCAGUCGGGAACCUUCCGAAAUGCGCGCAAGCCUGUCGGUGCGACGCCGCAUCAGUGAUCAAGCUCUUCGCUUCGUAAAACUCUUUAAUUCGGGAAGAACAAAUGUCUAAGUCACCAUGAUCGUCCCGCCGGUACCUAAUCAGAACGCCACCCCUAACUUCGUG